CCUACGGGAGGCAGCAGUGGGGGAUAUUGCUCAAUGGGGGGAACCCUGAUGCAGCGACGCCGCGUGGAGGAAGAAGCCUCUAGGAGCGUAAAGCCCUUUUGGUAGAGAAGAAAAUGACGGUACCUGAAGAAGAAGCACCGGCUAACUCCGUGCCAGCAGCCGCGGUAAUACGGAGGGGGCAAGCGUUAUCCGGAUUUACUGGGCGUAAAGGGGGCGUAGGCGGGGUGACAGGGCAGAGGUGAAAGCCCGGAGCUUAACUCCGGAACUGCCUUUGGAACUGUUGGUCUGGAGUGUAGGAGGGGUAGGCGGAAUGCAUGGUGUAGCGGUGAAAUGCGUAGAGAUCAUGAGGAACACCGAUGGCGAAGGCGGCCUGCUGGACUGUAACUGACGUUGAGGCACGAAAGCGUGGGGAGCAAACAGGAUUAGAUACCCGUGUAGUC
Molecule: ribosomal RNA, 440 nt
Filed under: uncultured bacterium
Lineage: Bacteria
Description: partial 16S ribosomal RNA
Rfam family: Bacterial small subunit ribosomal RNA
Source: RNAcentral